CCUACGGGUGGCAGCAGUGGGGAAUAUUGGACAAUGGGCGAAAGCCUGAUCCAGCCAUGCCGCGUGUGUGAAGAAGGCCUUCGGGUUGUAAAGCACUUUCAGUGGGGAAGAAAGCCUUGGGGCUAAUACCCUCGAGGAAGGACAUCACCCACAGAAGAAGCACCGGCUAACUCCGUGCCAGCAGCCGCGGUAAUACGGAGGGUGCGAGCGUUAAUCGGAAUUACUGGGCGUAAAGCGCGCGUAGGCGGUCUGAUAAGCCGGUUGUGAAAGCCCCGGGCUCAACCUGGGAACGGCAUCCGGAACUGUCAGGCUAGAGUGCAGGAGAGGAAGGUAGAAUUCCCGGUGUAGCUGUGAAAUGCGUAGAGAUCGGGAGGAAUACCAGUGGCGAAGGCGGCCUUCUGGACUGACACUGACGCUGAGGUGCGAAAGCGUGGGUAGCAAACAGGAUUAGAUACCCCAGUAGUC
Molecule: ribosomal RNA, 465 nt
Filed under: Vreelandella stevensii
Lineage: Bacteria; Pseudomonadati; Pseudomonadota; Gammaproteobacteria; Oceanospirillales; Halomonadaceae
Description: partial 16S ribosomal RNA
Rfam family: Bacterial small subunit ribosomal RNA
Source: RNAcentral